UUGCUCUGCGUUCCAAAGACAUAAAAUAUCUGUUGCUCUUCUUUUUAGCCAACUAUCCCUCUUUCUCUGUUUUUCAGCUAAUAUCAUGGAGCCAGGGUGUGAACACACAGAUGACUUGUGCCCAGCAAAAUUCUUGGAAACUAAAGAGCAGAUGAAAUGAGAAGAUGUGACUUUACAAUUCCUACACUCACAGGCUGGAGUGCAAAUGGAAUGCAGCAGGGACUCCACAAUUUCAUUAAUUUUGGAGGAUAAAAGCAUCAUAUGCACAGCAGAAAUUGUACCAGUGAAUCAGCAUACUCCCCUAGAUGCACAAGAAAGAAAAACUAUGUCGGGUGCUGCAGGUAAGUGGGCUGCUUUUCCUAUGAAAAACACAGAGAAGAACAUUUUGUGUUGAGUCAUAAGGGUUGAGACGCAAUCAAAGCUCAGGGGUAAAAACCCAAACAAACAAAACUUAAGAUGUAAGGCUUCAAAGAAGCUGGCAGUGGGGGUAGGAAUACAUUUGUUCUAUGUGUAAUUUCUUAACAUGGCAGUAAAGCAUAGCAUAUGAGGCUUUUGAAAUGCACAAUGAUCAACUAAAGCUAAAAUUAUUUAGUUUCCCUUGAAGAAAUAAGUGAAUAAUACAGAUCUGGAAAUCAUAAGGCUGAGAACAUUUUUAUGCAUACUGCAUAACAAAAUAAACCCUUUACAUAAGACAGUAAUAAUGCCCAUUAAUGAAUAUACGUAUGGCAGAGAUUUUAAUUCCAUGCAUAUGAUUUAAUAAUCGCAGAAAAAAAACAUACAAAGAAGAAAAAAAAAACCCCACAUUAAAAAAACCUGCUUAAGCAUAAUCAAAAUUCCUUUUGCAUUGCACUUUAGAAGAGGAGAUCUGCAUCUAGACUCAGUCUCCAGCAUCCCAAACACACAAGGGUAAACCCCUGUAUAAACGGACAGUUUCAUGUAAUUUACUUGGUAUAACUCUUUCUUGCUCCCAACAGUUUUACAUUGUCCCAGUAAUUGUACUCCUUUCAUAUUUCUUCUUUUUGUACCUAAAACAUAUAUAUGAACUUCUUUGUUAAUGCUCACAGUUAUUAUAAUGGUUAUCAUAAUGGUUUCAAGCAAACAGCUCUUGUUUAAAAAAAAAAAAUAUCUCUCUAAUGUAAGUAAAUACUAUAAUUUUAGGAUUGGAAGCCGCUUUCUGUCUACUGGGAAAUAAUUUUUAAGAUUAAAUAGUUUGCAUUAAUGUCCAAAAGCUAAUAAAGAUUACUGGAAAUAGGUUUCUUCGUUUAGAAUAACUUCUGUGUAUGAUGAUGCAUAGGGUUUGUUUUUGUUGUUUUUUUUUUGCCCUUCCCGUUUUUAUUCUUUAAGGUAAAAAAAGU
Molecule: long non-coding RNA, 1355 nt
Filed under: Accipiter nisus (Eurasian sparrowhawk)
Lineage: Eukaryota; Metazoa; Chordata; Aves; Accipitriformes; Accipitridae
Description: lncRNA (ENSANIG00000015423.1)
Source: RNAcentral